Molecule: ribosomal RNA, 354 nt
Filed under: Bacillus safensis
Lineage: Bacteria; Bacillati; Bacillota; Bacilli; Caryophanales; Bacillaceae
Description: bacterial SSU rRNA
Rfam family: Bacterial small subunit ribosomal RNA
Source: RNAcentral
AGUCUGAUGUGAAAGCCCCCGGCUCAACCGGGGAGGGUCAUUGGAAACUGGGAAACUUGAGUGCAGAAGAGGAGAGUGGAAUUCCACGUGUAGCGGUGAAAUGCGUAGAGAUGUGGAGGAACACCAGUGGCGAAGGCGACUCUCUGGUCUGUAACUGACGCUGAGGAGCGAAAGCGUGGGGAGCGAACAGGAUUAGAUACCCUGGUAGUCCACGCCGUAAACGAUGAGUGCUAAGUGUUAGGGGGUUUCCGCCCCUUAGUGCUGCAGCUAACGCAUUAAGCACUCCGCCUGGGGAGUACGGUCGCAAGACUGAAACUCAAAGGAAUUGACGGGGGCCCGCACAAGCGGUGGAGC